RNAcentral lists this transfer RNA (89 nucleotides) under Eubacterium sp. Its description in RNAcentral is "tRNA-Asn". It matches the Rfam family "tRNA". From Rfam's summary of the family: Transfer RNA (tRNA) molecules are approximately 80 nucleotides in length. Their secondary structure includes four short double-helical elements and three loops (D, anti-codon, and T loops). The record is from RNAcentral. Lineage: Bacteria; Bacillati; Bacillota; Clostridia; Eubacteriales; Eubacteriaceae.
GGGAGAGUCGCCAAACGGCUUGGCAACAGACUGUUAAUCUGUCAGCGUAGAACUUUGUUCUCAUGUGGGUUCGAGUCCCACCUCUCCCG